UCCCGUAGAGCAGAAGGGCAAAAGGUCUCUUCAUCCUGAUUUUCGGUAUGUAUACAGACUGUGAAAAUGCUUCAAAACUUAAGAAAUGCUUAACAGCAGGACUGUAGCAACCAUUUCUCCAUUUAAAGAUUAAAAAAAAAAGGAGGAAAAAUUAAAAAAUGGGCAUGAAAGACUGUUAAAAGAUUUGCCUUGUGAUAAGGCUUGUGGAAACCAGCCAUGCAUUCCCACAACACACGUCGUUUCUCAUCAGAACGGCGCUGUGGUUUGGUCCCUGACAUCAGUUAAUGGAGCAGAUUGGUUUCCAAAAGGGUAGAUGGUAUUUUGCCAUCCGCAUACAUGGCCUGGCACGGGUCAGCUAGGUCUGGGCUACAGCUGGUACCGCAGCCAUCCCACCGCAUCCUCCUCCUGCAGCAAGCGCCAGCAUGCUCAGGCAGGUCCAGCAGCAAAGGGCACUACAGCAGCCCAAGAGCUAGUAUUACAGAAUGGUUACAGCUAAAUUACCUCGGCUGAACUGCGAGCAGGAGCUGGAAGGGGAGGAAAACCACGUGGUACAAAACCAGCUCCGGUGGGAUGGGAUUUCACAGCAGAAUUCACAUAGCUCCAGCUUUGGAGCUGCUCAAGGACAAGGUGUGGCAGUUUCUCCCCUGCUUUCAACAGUGGAGGAAAUGAGACGGUGGAUGCUCCUCUCAUGCCUCUUGAAGCUUACACAGGUGUGGGGCUGUCCAUCUGUGCUGGGCCAAGGGGUGUUCUGUGCCGCUGAGCUCGAGCAUGCCACCUCUCUGGUGUGGGAGGAACAGAGCAUAACCGUUUCCAGGAGGCUCCAAGUCAUGCUCAUCUGUGUUUUUCCAUGAGCCCUGAAAUUCUGCGGUCAUGUAAUGACAGCUCUCCUUACUGCUCAGUUACAGGAUCUGAUCCUGGAGGCUUCCAUGGUUUCACCCAGUAUUUAUUUAUCCCCAUCACAUGAAUUUUGGGAGUAUCCAUUUCAAAACACUUUGUGUUUUCUGUCCUCCUGUGACCCUGGCACACAGGGAUGCCAUCAAUUCCUUGCUGGAUUUUCUCUAUUUUACCCGUAGGGGCCUUUCAGGCCAGUCUAGAGAAGAAAGAUAUCUGCAGUUUAAAAAAAUAAUUCUUGUUUCUAGUGAAUGCAGCUUGGGUAGCAGGAAUAAUGUCAGCACAAGUCUGUACUAAGUGAGUUUAAUAGUUACCAUUUCUCUCUAAUGUUUAACUCGUGGCCUAAAGCUGGUUAGUGAUUUGUGUCCUGUACCACCAUGCAAGCUGUACUCCUUAAAGGUCCACAAAUCCAACCUCCCUUUACUCUAAUAAUAAUAAUAAUAAUAAAAAUAAAAAAGGUAUUAUGAUCUUCC
Gallus gallus (chicken) is the source of this 1364-nucleotide long non-coding RNA. Lineage: Eukaryota; Metazoa; Chordata; Aves; Galliformes; Phasianidae. The record is from Ensembl.